This 1311-nucleotide ribosomal RNA is filed under the name Triticum aestivum (bread wheat). Its description in RNAcentral is "partial small subunit ribosomal RNA". Lineage: Eukaryota; Viridiplantae; Streptophyta; Magnoliopsida; Poales; Poaceae. The record is from RNAcentral.
AUGACCGGCUGGCAUGACCCAUGCCGGAUGUCGAGGAAGGAGCUAACGCCGGCCAGAAUCGUCCAGCGCGUCAACAACAUCACCAAGGCCGAGCUCAGCAAGACGGCGUGGCACUUCGGAAAGGAGAUGUACAGUUGGACGAACCACGAGCAGGCGCUCUUCCCGAGUCAGCAGACCGCUGAUGGACUGAAUCGCCAAGACAUGGAGCCGGGCCUGCCCCACUCGGACGAGGAGGAGGCGGGAAUGAUGCGCGCCUCAAGGGUGUCGAAGCCGGCGGAUCCGGCCAAGCCGCGCCCCCGCCCGCGGGAGCAGAGGCCAGCAUCACCCCCGUCCGUGGGAGCAAAGGCCAACAUCGCCCCCGGAGGCGGCUUCAGAAGGCGGCCGGGAUCAGGCCAUCUAGUAGUUCGUUGGGCGCUGAGCGACCACACGGUAAAGACGCAGUGGAGAGGCCGCCCAGGAAACGCCGAGCCAUGUCGGCCGACGUGCGGGAAGAAUUCUGUCAAGAAGAAGCGCCUGCUCAUCCCAUCAGCGGGUCAGAGAAGGGUGGUCCCCAUGGUCGACGGAGCCCCCCUCGAGCUGGCGGAGACGGCCGUCCCGAACACGCCCGGAGGUGGCGGGGGCGAGCCGGCCAGGGCCCUGAGGAGGAGAUCAUGGCCCGGCAUACGGGUGUGGCGCCCGAGGAGGCAGAGCGCACCGCGUGAAGGGACAAGGCGGCCGCCGAGAAGGAGCUGCAGGAGACCUCGGCCACGGCAUGGAGGGCUGCCGCAGAGGCACGAAAGAGGACUGUCGAGGACUUGGUGUGGCCGGCUUGGGUGGAGAACUCGCUACCGCCAUCGCCGCCAUGGGAGCAUCGCACGAAGUCGUGGCACGACCCGGCCCACCGGGCGGAGGUUGACGCCCACGCCACUGCCGAAGCAGUCCACCGCGGUGAGGCGGACGACUCCAAGACGGACGUCGACGAGACCAUCAUCACGGAGUCGCCGCCGACUGCUGACCCGACUGACUGGGUCGAGCACGAGGACAGCGAGGAACGCGUGUCGGAGACCACGCCAGCCGAUGGGGGAGCGCCACCACCGAGCGCAGAGGCAACACCCGCGGGCUCUGGUGCCAUGGUGGUCGUUGGGCCAUAGCCCCCGAGGCGCGGCCUCAAGCCAAGGCCGGAUAGGAGCAGGACCAGCGCCGGGUCCGCGACCCGGAUGCAGCAGACCUAGGGAGGAGCCGGCGAGGCCACAAGCGGAUCACGCACCAGCAACCUGGACGCGGCGGUGGAUGUCGUGCGCCAGCAGUUCAACGACAACCGCAGCGGCCUAG